This 433-nucleotide ribosomal RNA is filed under the name uncultured bacterium. Its description in RNAcentral is "partial 16S ribosomal RNA". It matches the Rfam family "Bacterial small subunit ribosomal RNA", at positions 29 to 507 of the family's 1533-position model. The record is from RNAcentral.
AACGAACGCUGGCGGCAGGCCUAACACGUGCAAGUCGAGCGCGCCCUUCGGGGUGAGCGGCGGACGGGUGAGUAACGCGUGGGAACGUGCCCUUUUCUACGGAAUAGCCUCGGGAAACUGAGAGUAAUACCGUAUACGCCCUUUGGGGGAAAGAUUUAUCGGAAAAGGAUCGGCCCGCGUUGGAUUAGGUAGUUGGUGGGGUAAUGGCCUACCAAGCCGCCGAUCCAUAGCUGGUUUGAGAGGAUGAUCAGCCACACUGGGACUGAGACACGGCCCAGACUCCUACGGGAGGCAGCAGUGGGGAAUCUUAGACAAUGGGGGCAACCCUGAUCUAGCCAUGCCGCGUGAGUGAUGAAGGCCUUAGGGUUGUAAAGCUCUUUCAGCUGGGAAGAUAAUGACGGUACCAGCAGAAGAAGCCCCGGCUAACUCCGUG